GUAUUGGUGGUUCAGUGGUAGAAUUCUCGCCUGCCACGCGGUAGGCUCGGGUUCGAUUCCCGGCCAGUGCA
This 71-nucleotide transfer RNA is filed under the name Saccoglossus kowalevskii. RNAcentral's name for it is "tRNA-Gly". It matches the Rfam family "tRNA". From Rfam's summary of the family: Transfer RNA (tRNA) molecules are approximately 80 nucleotides in length. Their secondary structure includes four short double-helical elements and three loops (D, anti-codon, and T loops). The record is from RNAcentral. Lineage: Eukaryota; Metazoa; Hemichordata; Enteropneusta; Harrimaniidae.